UGGGAAUCGACUCGCAUUACCUCAAUCCCAUUCCCAUUUUUGAGGACUUCAUUUCCCAUUCCCAGUGGCCAAAUCCCAGUCCCAGUAACCCAAAUCCCAUUUUCCCAGUCUAAAAUUAGAUCAAUCCCAGUUCCCAUUUUACCCCUUCAGGGCCCUCCAUGAAGGAAAUUCAAAAGAAAUGAAUGUUUAAUCAAUGUAUGUAAAUCGUCGGAUAAUAGAUUUGUAAACUUCAGCUUCGAUUUUCUCGGCUUAGACGGUG
Paramuricea clavata is the source of this 259-nucleotide non-coding RNA. NCBI's taxonomy places the organism in Eukaryota, Metazoa, Cnidaria, Anthozoa, Malacalcyonacea, Plexauridae. The record is from the annotation of a GenBank genome assembly.